GAUGAACGCUGGCGGCGUGCCUAAUACAUGCAAGUCGAGCGAACAGACGAGGAGCUUGCUCCUCUGACGUUAGCGGCGGACGGGUGAGUAACACGUGUAUAACCUACCUAUAAGACUGGGAUAACUUCGGGAAACCGGAGCUAAUACCGGAUAAUAUAUUGAACCGCAUGGUUCAAUAGUGAAAGACGGUUUUGCUGUCACUUAUAGAUGGAUCCGCGCCGCAUUAGCUAGUUGGUAAGGUAACGGCUUACCAAGGCAACGAUGCGUAGCCGACCUGAGAGGGUGAUCGGCCACACUGGAACUGAGCCACGGUCCAGACUCCUACGGGAGGCAGCAGUAGGGAAUCUUCCGCAAUGGGCGAAAGCCUGACGGAGCAACGCCGCGUGAGUGAUGGAGGUCUUCGGAUCGUAAAACUCUGUUAUUAGGGAAGAACAAAUGUGUAAGUAACUAUGCACGUCUUGACGGUACCUAAUCAGAAAGCCACGGCUAACUACGUG
Molecule: ribosomal RNA, 497 nt
Filed under: uncultured bacterium
Lineage: Bacteria
Description: partial 16S ribosomal RNA
Rfam family: Bacterial small subunit ribosomal RNA
Source: RNAcentral